Molecule: long non-coding RNA, 410 nt
Organism: Saccostrea cuccullata (small rock oyster)
Lineage: Eukaryota; Metazoa; Mollusca; Bivalvia; Ostreida; Ostreidae
Exons: 3
Source: RefSeq, a predicted model, not a curated record
AAGCCAAGGGGUUAAGAUGAUCUUUUUGAAAUUCAACGAUAAAAAGGACGUAUUUCCGGUUACCAAAAGUUGUGUGUUUUUGCUGAAUGAUUAUACAUGUGCACAUUAUACGUUUUACCAAUCAAGGCAUCGAAAUAGCUGACCAGCCUACAGCAGAGGGGCCGAUGAUCGAGUGUAACGUCAGGCCGACAGACUGUAUAUCGUUCUUCGUGUUUUAAAACCCUCACCUUGUCAGGAUGGACAUGUAAACUCGUCCAUUAGUGCAUUACAAACCAGUCAUAUACAGAUGAAAGUGAAUAGUGAAAAUAUAAAAGAAAUGAAAACUCUGGUAUACACGGGUUAAAAACUACAAUAUAGACCAAAGGAAAAGAAAAAGAUAGAGGAUCAAGAAAACGCUUUAUAAUAUAUGA